RNAcentral lists this ribosomal RNA (253 nucleotides) under uncultured bacterium. Its description in RNAcentral is "partial 16S ribosomal RNA". It matches the Rfam family "Bacterial small subunit ribosomal RNA", at positions 524 to 776 of the family's 1533-position model. The record is from RNAcentral.
UACGAAGGGGGCUAGCGUUGCUCGGAAUUACUGGGCGUAAAGCGCACGUAGGCGGCUUUCUAAGUCGGGGGUGAAAUCCUGGAGCUCAACUCCAGAACUGCCUUUGAUACUGAGGAUCUUGAGUUCGGGAGAGGUGAGUGGAACUGCGAGUGUAGAGGUGAAAUUCGUAGAUAUUCGCAAGAACACCAGUGGCGAAGGCGGCUCACUGGCCCGAUACUGACGCUGAGGCACGAAAGCAUGGGGAGCAAACAGG